RNAcentral lists this ribosomal RNA (584 nucleotides) under uncultured bacterium. Its description in RNAcentral is "bacterial SSU rRNA". It matches the Rfam family "Bacterial small subunit ribosomal RNA", at positions 339 to 916 of the family's 1533-position model. The record is from RNAcentral.
CUACGGGAGAAGCAGUGGGGAAUUUUGGACAAUGGGGGCAACCCUGAUCCAGCCAUGCCGCGUGAGUGAAGAAGGCCUUCGGGUUGUAAAGCUCUUUCGGCCGGGAAGAAAUCGCGCCUGUGAAUAAUGGGCGUGGAUGACGGUACCGGAAGAAGAAGCACCGGCUAACUACGUGCCAGCAGCCGCGGUAAUACGUAGGGUGCGAGCGUUAAUCGGAAUUACUGGGCGUAAAGCGUGCGCAGGCGGCCUGACAAGACAGCUGUGAAAGCCCCGGGCUUAACCUGGGAACUGCGGUUGUGACUGUCAGGCUAGAGUGUGGCAGAGGGGGGUGGAAUUCCACGUGUAGCAGUGAAAUGCGUAGAGAUGUGGAGGAACACCGAUGGCGAAGGCAGCCCCCUGGGUCGCCACUGACGCUCAUGCACGAAAGCGUGGGGAGCAAACAGGAUUAGAUACCCUGGUAGUCCACGCCCUAAACGAUGCCGACUAGGUGUUGGGGAAGGAGACUUCCUUAGUACCGUAGCUAACGCGUGAAGUCGGCCGCCUGGGAGUACGGUCGCAAGAUUAAAACUCAAAUGAAUUGACGG